UGCGCAGGCGCAACAUUGAGGCCGCCGUUAGGAGGGCGGGACGGGGCCAAAAAGGUGAAUGGGGGCGGAGCUAAGGUCCGCUCGAGGAGGCGGGGUCAGAAUCACGGGGCGGGGCCGAAGUUUCCUGAGGCCGGAUGUAGGAGUCUUAAGCGGUGGGGGAUCCACGAACCUGGCGGGUGGUUUGCAGUGCGCAGGCGUAACACGAGGGGUCGCGCUAGGUUCGGAGUGGACUGUCCCUUCCCUGCACAGGAAAGAGAAAGGGGGAGUGGGUAGUAGCCACUCAAGGGGUGUGGUGGAAGCGGGAGGGGCGGGGCCAAAGUUUCCCUUGGCAGGAGGCGGAUGAGAGGCGGGGGCCAGGGGAGGGGCCCAGGACUCAAUGCUCCUGAUUAGGCAAGAGCCGGCAGCUGGUGGAGAGCUGAGUCCCUUUUCUAGAAGUAGAGUCCUACCUUUUCCUCCCCUCUCCCCUAGUGUAUCCUUUGCAGACCCUCGGACCUGGACACCGUUUGGUGCGCUUCUGUGGGCACAUUCCCCUACUGAUUCAUGCAUCUGUCAACUGAAGUAUCACGCCGCUGGUUGUAGGUUCCACAGCCACCUCCUCAGAGCCUCAUCACUCCUGUGCUUCCCCAGCUGCCUACCCAGUAAAAAGCUGAUGACAUUUUUGGAGGCCAGGGCGGAUCUGAGGCCCUUUCAGCUGUGCUCUCUUCCUGAAGCCAUCUGUCGUGUCAACUAGUCAUGGAUAAAGAAGCCUCUGAGGUCAGUCCCAGCCCACCUACAGUGACCAUCAAGAAGAAAGAUAAAUGUGCAAGAUCCGAAAAGUUCUCCAAAAAUGUUCUGAUCUUUUUACUGGGGAUGGAUUAAAUGGGUUUCACUAUCUUUUUCAGGCCCUUUCAGCUGUGCUCUCUUCCUGAAGCCAUCUGUCGUGUCAACUAGUCAUGGAUAAAGAAGCCUCUGAGGUCAGUCCCAGCCCACCUACAGUGACCAUCAAGAAGAAAGAUAAAUGUGCAAGAUCCGAAAAGUUCUCCAAAAAUGUUCUGAUCUUUUUACUGGGGAGGCAGCUGGGGAGGCACAGGAGUGACGUGGACCUGUCAAAGUGGCUGUGGAUGCUGACAUGAGCUGCCCCAGGGUGGAGCUGGCCAUGGCCAGAGUCCUAAAACCUACCUGCUCAUGCCUGUCUGUAACUUUAGAAAAAAAUAAAAACAAGUAACAAACUCCUCCCUUGUUUCACCUGUUAAAAUAAAAGGUGACUGUCACCCCUUUUGUCUUGAUACGUUUUUACGCCAGUACAGUUUUCCUGGGUUACACUGGAGAGGG
This 1311-nucleotide long non-coding RNA is filed under the name Sus scrofa (pig). RNAcentral describes it as "lncRNA (ENSSSCG00005023827.1)". The record is from RNAcentral. Lineage: Eukaryota; Metazoa; Chordata; Mammalia; Artiodactyla; Suidae.